RNAcentral lists this unclassified non-coding RNA (73 nucleotides) under Thiomonas arsenitoxydans. Lineage: Bacteria; Pseudomonadati; Pseudomonadota; Betaproteobacteria; Burkholderiales. The record is from RNAcentral.
GAGCCGUAUGCCCGAAUCGGGCCCGUACGGAUCUGUGCGGGGGGUGGCCGGUAACGGGCAUCUCUACCGCGAU